This 24074-nucleotide long non-coding RNA is filed under the name Citrus x clementina. Its description in RNAcentral is "Citrus clementina (C. clementina) long non-coding RNA (CCLE_LNC004029)". Lineage: Eukaryota; Viridiplantae; Streptophyta; Magnoliopsida; Sapindales; Rutaceae. The record is from RNAcentral.
AGCGCUAAAGUUUCUUAACAGAGUGAAAGAAGCUGCUUUAACAGAGAAGAAAGCUGCAGAGGUGUUGAACUCCGGUUUUGAACUUGGAUAGAAAUGUAGGCGGAUGAACUUUUGACCGGCGGUGACGUUGAAUAUGUAGGUGAAUUGCGAAUGAGAAACGCGUGAUUUAGAAUAUGGGACUUGCUUAUUUUCAGUGACGGUUGUUGAUUUGGGAGCGGAUGCGUCUUCAUGUGGGGAGUAUUGAGAGUUAACAUCUCCAACCCAAGUCUGGCCGGGAGUACUCGUGUUGCCCAACCAGCCACAAGCAAGAAAUAUGUUGCUUUCUACGAGAGGGUAAUUAGAGUCACCGGUGACGACAUCAGAUAGAUGAUGGCAGGAGAAGAAGAAAAAGAAGAAGAAGAAGAAGAAGUGGAAGAUUUUUCUCUAUGUCUCCAUUAAUUUUUUGACAAUUAAUUAAUAGGCAGGCUGCAGCUAUAGCUUUGAUUCUUCAGAUAGCUAGACAUUUAAAGUUAGCAAAUUUUGUAGCAGUAUGUCCGUCUCUGUCAGUUGGGGGCCACAGGCGCCAUGGCGUUCGGACAUGACAAUCAAAAUGAUGGAAAAAUUAAGUCUUCGUCAACUUCUUAGUCUUUGCCCUUUGGCAUCAGUCCAAUCUACUAUCACCCGUAAGGCACUUUCCAUGGCUACUAUUAAUAGACUUGUUUUGAAAUAUCAACUUAUAUACAAACAUACUCUGAAACUUCGUAGUAACCACAAAUCAAUCAAUUGGAUUCCACAAUUAAAUAUACACUUAACAAAUCUAGAUUGGACUUGAACGUUAAAUUAGUGUUCGGUCACUAAAUUAAAAAAUAUUUGUCCAUAAUUGGUUAUUUUAGAAAUACAUGUUUAGCAGUUUAUCGAAAGGUUGAACUAAAUAUAUUAAUGGUGCGUUUACUAAUCAGUUAUUGGAAUAGGCUAGAAUUGAAAUGAGCUGACUUUGAAAUGGGCUAAAAUCGGAAUCAGGAAUGAGAGUUUACUAAUCAGUUAUCGGAAUAGGCUAUAAUCGAAAUGAGCUUAAAUUGAAAUGGGUUAAAAUCGGAAUCAGGAAUGAGAAUUAAAAUAAGUAAUUUACUUCAAUUGUAGGAAUUGGAAUCGGAAUGGAAAUAAGAUUUAUUUUCAUAGAUGUGUUUAUUUUGUCUUGAAAUUGGAAUGAACUAUCAUAAUUUACUAAAAUGCCAUUUGUUAAUUAUUGUCAAUUGACGAGGACAAUAAUAAUAAUAAUAAUAAUAAUAAUAAUAUUAUUAUUAUUAUUAUUAUUAUUAUUAUUGUAGUAGUAAUUAUUAUAAUCAUAAUAAUUAUUAUUAUAAAUUAUAUUAUAAUAAUAUUUUAGUAAAUAAUUAUUAUUAUUAUUAUUAUAAUUAACAAUGGCAUAUAAUUCAGCUAUGCCUAAGCAAUGUCUCUCAAUAAUGUAGUGUCUAGUGUUUUAGAUUAAACUCGAACCGUCUCAUAACUAGGACAAGGAUCUUCUCUCUCUCUCUCUCUCUUGUUUUUUUAGUUUAUAGCCUCUCCUAGUUUAAUGAAUGGCUAAGAAUGAGUUUAGAAUUUAGAUGUUGACAAUCAAGUCAACUUUUUUCACUUUAUUUAUAAUUAAGCCAACUCUUUUCAUUAAAUUUAAAAAAACUAGAAAAGGCUAGGAGAAAAAAAAAUAUUAGAAAAAGAACCUAAUCCCAUAAGUUAAACUCAAACCAUGCAGUACUUAGUUUUAAGGAGUGUAAAUUUGAGUUUUGAAUUUUAAUGUUCACAAACUUAAAAACCAUGCAGCACUAGUGCAAAGCAUGGUAAAUGAUAGCGCUCACUAAGCUUGAAAAACCCAAUAAAUCGUAAAAAAGAGCAUAUUGAGCACUAGGGAUUGGAGCUUUUGGUGACUUGGCUCAAAUGAAGCCAAUUCUUUGUAAAUGGAGAAAUUAUAUAUGGACAAGUUAUAAUAAGAUUCAAUUAUAUCAAAGCAGAUUAGAUAGGAUAAGUUUGGAAUAUUUAUAAUUACAAUUGACCUAUAUCUAGUAAGAGUGCAGAUCAUAAUUAUGAAACUCUACGACAAAUGUACAUAUCUAUUGAAAUAGGGAUCUAGAUGGAUUAAACAUGCAUCUCCUACUCCUCUCCUAUAAAGAGGUUUUAAUACAUUUACAAUCGGAGGCAACAUGCCCGCUGCUAGAGUUAUCACACCGGUAUCGUCAGAUUAGUAAUUUUGUUUAUGAUUUUAUCUAAUAGCAAUUUGUCGUUUUGUUUUUGGUUACAAAUGGGCUCUUAAAUAGUGCUAAAUAGUAACUAGGUGGGGGUAUGAAACCCCAUACAUAUCAUGCGUGAGAAAAGGAAGAACACCAACUUAAGGAUAGUUGAGAAUGUAAAGCCCCAAGGGGAGAGAUAGGGCAUAGCUUGCAAUAAAAUCUGCCAUAAAAUUUGCUUCCCGAUAAACAUGGAUAACGGUGAUAUGCUAGUCAUAUCGCAGGAGAUCCUUUAUAGAUCGAACUAACGGGAUGUAUUCAUUAGGGGAUCACAAAUGAUUACCAACCAGUUGAGUCACACAUAAGCUAUCCAAUUCCACAUUCAACCGGCAAAUACCUUUUUGCCAAACAACAAACAAAUCGUGAAACAACCCCAAGAGUUCCGCAACAAUAACAAAACUAGAACAAAUAUUUAUGCAAAAGCCAACCAAUCAAAUAUUUACGAAAAAGUCCUUCUAUAGGAUCCAAAUCCCCCUAGAGAAACCAGUAGCUUCAACUCUAGGGGAUUUAUCAAAGCCAAUUCUUUUAAUGAAAUCAUUUACUUUAUACCCACUGAUUCUAGGCUCUAGUAAAACAACCAUGACUGGCUUAUAAUUCUUGAUAAGAGAACCAAAAGAGCGACAGAAGACUAGCGAUGUCGCUCCCUGGACAUUCCAAAACAUGAUUGAUAAAGACAUAAAGAUAUGUACGAUAAAAGGAAGAAACACCUCACAUUUUCAGCCUUGAGGCCUUGAUCUCCAAGUCCAUAGCUGAUUCAUUCACAAGACAUAUAUCUCUAUUAGAAGAACUAGACUCGUUAUUAAAAUUCUAAUUAUGCAACCCAAGAGGAGGGAGAAUUGAGAUUAUAAAAAUUAUUCAAUUUUAGAACAAAACUCAAUGCAAAUCUAAAAUUAAUUUAAAGUAAUAAUAAAUAAAUCAAUCACAAUAUAAAAAGAUAAGGGAAGAGAGAUUCAAACACGGAGAUUUUUACGUGGUUCGGCCAACUUGACCUACGUCCACGCCUCCAAGCUUUCCGGGCUUGAGGAUUUCACUAAGUAAGCCUCCAAUGCUUCAAAUGCUUACACUUGACUUCAAAGGUGUCAAUAAACCUUUACAACAAGAGAUUAUCCCCAGUCUCUUAACCCAAGUGUAUCCCAACACUUACAAUCACUCAAAACAAAAAUUAUAAAUUUUGUUCUUCACUCACACAAUACUUAAGAUUACAAAUCAAUGCUCAAUAUGUGAAUAAAUGAAGCAAGAAUGAGUUUAAAGCUCUAUGAAGGUUGUAUUCUCGAUUAUAAGCUCAAUGAUAGUGUUGUGAUCAACCUUUGUUUGAAUUUGAAUGAGCUUAUUUAUAGUUGGAGCUGAAAAAUAGCCGUUACAGACGGUUUGCUCGUAAACAGAUCGCUGUUAACCGUUAACAGUUAACCGUUUGUUCUGAUCAAAGUUACCGUUGAGCCAAAUUUCAAAUUAACGGUUGACUAUUUGUCAUUACCCUUUUGCCGUUAAAUUCCAAAGACCUGCAAAACAAACUCCAGCUAUCCAUUCUUUACUAAAGAAAAACCAAUACUACUCAUGGCUUUCGGACUAAUCCGUCUUGUUCCUUAUAUACAACAUCCCGCAGAGGCACUUGAAAGUACCGCAGUAUCUUAGAAAUGAUACUGCCAUAAGGAAGCAAACGGUGGUUAACCGCAGGAGUAGUCAGCAUAUGGUGCAUAAUAAUAUACCUAAGGUUAAUAGGAUGCCCUGUAAGGGGACUGUCUCAUAGCCCAACAUCCAACCGUGUGACCUCAUCCGAAUGACCCUUCCUAGGUGUAAUGAUAUGCUGUAAAAUAAUAUGAAGGAUACAAACUUGGAAAGGUAACAAUUGAGACCGAAAAGGUGAAUUGCAAAUGUCAUUAAUCAAGUCUCGACGAAAAAAAAUAUUUCGGACACUGAGAUGAUGAGCGAAACUACUAAAUGAGAGGGCUUCCCUGGAUGUAUAAAUCAAAUGGCCAUCAUUAGAAAUUCCUAGAAUAUUGUUCAAGAGCUCAACAUCAAAUUCACUAGGGACACCCCCAACAUGAGUAACAAUCUUAUCUAACCGAGUUUCUGAAAGUUCCAUAUUUGAAUAGAAAACUCGAAUUAGAUUAGGAAACACUUUGUCAUCAAAAUCUAUAGCGGACUCCCAAGGACGUAGCAUAUUUCUAACACUUCUACUACAAACAACUAACUCUUUAAAAUCUUCAAUAUCCACAUAAAAAGGGUCAAGUACCUGUCGGCCCAUGAAAUGAUCCUCGAAACGCUUGGCUAACGCAUUUGUAGGAAAGUGAAUUCUUUCGAAUUGAGAGGGCUCUCGUGGAGGUAUAGGAGUCCUAGGAGGAACUACUUUCCUUCUCCGAGUUCUCUGAGAUGACUUAGCUAUGGUGAAAGACAGAGAAAAUGAGGGAAUUUGAGAAAAGUGGGUUUAGAAGAAAAUUAACCGACUAUUGGGUCAAGAGUGAGUAGAGGAUGUAAUUUUGAGGCUCAAUGUGGUCGAAAAAAGACAAGAAUUAGGUCAAAAAUGAUGAAACUCGAUCGGCUGUCCUUAGGGUUUUGAUUUGGGAUUUUUGAAUUUUGAGCUCAAUUUGAAGAAUUGAAUCUGUGAAAGCGAUCUAAUGAUGAUGGGAAAUGGUUUUAUCAAUGUGAUUUGGCAAGAAAAUGAAGAAAAAUGGAGGAUUAAAGACAGAGAGAGCUUCAGCUGUGCGUUAAUGGCUGAAAUGGUAAGAGGGCAAAUGAAGAGGAAGAAAAAACCCUUGGAACAGUUUUAUAUUUCACGAAAAUGGCGAGCCGUUUUCUAUAAACGGUGAGGGAGUAAGUUCCAGAGAGCACUCAAAAGGGAACGGUUAAAAGUUAGUUGUUAACUAUGAAAGGGUACUAGGAUAUAAUGGCUGUCAAUUACUCCAUUACCGUUUGAUACAAACAGUAAACCAUUUAAAACCAAAGAGCUCACUGGAAUUUACCCUUUACCGUUUAUUGUGAAACAAUUAUCCGUUUAUUUUGUGUAUAAUUUCACACAUUUGAUUUAAUAUUUGGCCAACAAAUAAUACAUUGUAAGAUCAUUUGAUUGAUUCAAAAAUGUUUUAAAAGCCAUUUUUAAUGCAUGAUUCAUGAACUAACAUGUAUUUAAAUAAUCAAUUCAUAUAAACAUUCAAAAAUUUAAAUGUAAACACAUCACGCAUAUAUCAUACUUAAGCAUUUCAUAAAUGUCAUAAAAUCAUCAAAUCAUUAAAUAAUAAAUUCAAUAACAUGAAUAGAGAUGUUAAUGUGAAAAUUUCAUUAUCCCAAGUUCAUGCCGAAUUUUCAAAAAUUAUUCUUCACCAAGAGAUUUUGUAAAAUUAUCGGCAAGUUAUUUUUUCGUAAAAAUAAACUUUAAUGCAAUAUCUCCCUUUUGAAUAUGAUCUCUCAAGAAAUGAUGUCUAAUUUCUAUAUUCUUAGUUCUAGAGUGUUGAAUGAGAUUCUUUGAAAGAUUUAUAGCACUAAUAUUAUUACACUUAAUGGGAAUUUGUUCAAGGUUAAUGCCAUAGUCUCUAAGUGUUUGUUUCAUCCAAAGAGCUUGUGCACUACAACUCCCUGCAGCUAUAUAUCCAGUCUCGGUAGUUGAAAGUGCAACAGAAUUUUGUUUCUUGCUAAACUAUGAAACAAGUGAGUGACCUAGUAGAUGGCAAGUUCCACUAUUGCUUUUCCUAUCAACUUUAUAACCGGUAAAAUCAGCAUCCGAAUAGCAUGUUAAGUCUAUAUGAGUUCCUCUAGGAUACCAAAGGCCAAAAUCUAUGGUUCCACUCAAAUAACGAAAAAUUCUUUUUACAACAAGCAAAUGAGAUUCCUUGGGACAUGAUUAAAAUCUUGCACACAAACAUACACUAAACAUGAUAUCGGGUCUACUUGCGGUUAAGUAAAGUAAAGAUCCGAUUAUACCUCGAUACGUUUUGAUAUCCACUUCUUUGUCUUUUUCAUCUGUGUCAAGCUUAGUUGUUGUGCUCAUUGGAGUGCUUUUGGUCUUUGAGUCAUCAAUGUCAAAUCGCUUGAGUAGAUCUUUCACAUACUUGGCUUGAUUUAUGAAAAUUCCUUCCAUAUUUUGUUUUAUUUGCAGCCCAAUGAAAUACUUCAACUCUCCCAUCAUAUUCAUUUCAAAUUCUUUACUCAUACAAGAUGAAAAUUCUUUACACAACAUAAUAUUAUCAACUCAUUUCAAAUUCUUUACUCAUUAGUAGAACCAAAUAUAAUAUUAUCAACAUAAAUUUGAACAAGUAUAUCUUAGUUCUUAUGCUUAACAAAGAGAGUGGUAUCCGCUUUACCCAUCGAGAAAACGUUAUCUAGCAAGAAAUUUCUAAACCUAUCAUACCAUGCUUUAGGUACUUGCUUUAAUCCAUACAAUGCUUUUGAUAACUUAUAAAUAUGAUUUGGAAAUUUUUCAUUUUUAAAACCAGGGGGUUGUUUCACAUACACUUCUUCUAUAAUAUACCCAUUUAAGAAAGCACUUUUGACAUCCAUUUGAAAUAAAAUAAAAUAUUUAUAACAUACAAAUGCUAAUAGCAUCCUAAUAGAUUCUAGUCUAGCUACGGGUGCAAAUGCUUCAUUAAAAGCAAUUCCUUCUUUUUGGUUGUAUCCUUGAGCCACUAAUUUAGUUUUAUUCCUUACAACCACACCAGAUUCAUCCAUCUUAUUUCUAAAUACCCAAUUAGUACCUAUGACGGAUUGAUGUUCCGGUUUAGGAACUAAUUCCUAUACAUUGUUUCUCUCAAAUUGAUUCAACUCCUCUUGCAUUGCCAUAAUCCAAGAUUCAUCAUUUUCCGCAUCCGCAAAGGAUUUCGGUUCAAUUUGAGAAAUAAAUGUAGCAUGCUCACAAGUAUUUUUGAAUGAUGAUCUAGUGGUAACAUCUUUUGAAGGAUCUCCUAAAAUUAAAUCCUUAGGAUGAGAAGUAACAUACCUCCACUCCUUGGGGAGUGUUUGAGAAAUACCUUCUUGUUCCUCCAUAUUUGUUUGCUCUUCUUGUCUAUCCUCUCGAUUUCAGGGUGUGCAUCAUUUUGGCUAUCCCUUGAUGAAUCUUCUUAUAGAUUUUCAUCUGCAUCAUCAUCAACAACAACUUUCUCCGAAGAAGAAGGGUUAGACUCAUUAAAUGUAACAUGCAUAGACUCUUCCACAACCAUAGUUCUUUUAUUAUACGCUCUAUAAGCUUUACUUGUAUUUGAAUAACCAAGAAAGAUGCCAACAUCAGAUUUUGGAUCAAAUUUACUAAGAUUUUCUUUUGUGUUUAAAAUGAAACAUUCGCAUCCUAAAACUUUGAAAUAAUCAAUGUUGUGUUUUCUAUCUUUCCAAAGUUUAUAAGGAGUUUUAUUGAGAUGAGGUCUAAUUAACACCCAAUUUAAAACAUAACAACCGGUGUUGACAGCUUCGGCCCAAAAAUAUUUUGGUAAAGUAUUUUAAUUUAACAUGGCCCUAACUAUUUCUUGAAUAGACCUAUUCUUUUUCUUAACAAUUCUAUUUUGUUGUGGAGUCCUAGGUGAUGAAUAUUAAUGCUCAAUGCCAAAAUAAUUACAAAAAUUCUCAAAUGCAUGAUUUUCAAAUUCUCCACUAUGAUCACUUCUAAUACACGUAAUAGAAUAAUCUUUUUCAUUUUGAACCUUUUUAUAGAAAACUCUAAAUGCUUCAAAGGAAUCAUCCUCGUUAGCUAAGAACAAUACCCAUAUAUAUCUAGAAUAAUCAUUCACAAUCACAAAUGCAUAAUAUUUGCCAUUUAAACUAGCAUAUCUAGAAGGUCAAAAUAAAACUAUGUGAAGAAGUUGAAGUGGUUUUGAAGUAGAAAUAUGAUUUUUGUUUUUUAAAGAAGUUUUGAUUUGUUUUCCAAAUUGACAAGCUCCAAAAAUUCUAUCUUUUUGAAAACCAAUUUUUGGAAGACUUUUAACUAAAUCAUUUUUUAAGAUUUUUGAAAUCAAAUCCAUACUUGCAUGUCCUAGUCUUCUAUGCCAUAGCCAAUCAUCAUCAUGCAAUGUCGAAAAGCAUUUAUCAUGAGUAGAUGCACACUAUAUCAAUUGUGUAAACAUUACCAUAUUUAUUUCCUACAAAUAAAAUCUUGCCAUCGCAUAUAACACAUCUAGAUUUAUCAAAAACAACUUUAUAACCUUUGUCACACACAAUUGACUAAUACUAAUCAAGUUGUGUUUCAAGUUUUCAACCAAACAAAUGUUUUUAAUAAGAAUUGAGGAAACUUUACCGACAUCACCAAUUUCGAGAAUUUUUUCCUUUUGAAUUGUCUUAAAAGGAAACAUCUCCACCGUUUUCGAUUUUGGUGAAACUUGAAAACCAUGCACAGUUUCCAAUCGUACACCUUGAACAACCAUUGUCCAAGUACCAUUUAUUUUUCUUCUUCUUCAAACCCUGCAGAGAAAAUCUCAAGUCUUAGGUACCCAAAACUUUUUAGGUCCUUAAGUGUUAGCUAUGGUUCUUUUUGGAACCCAAAUACAUUUCAUACCAUAAGAUGCAUUUCUUUUCACAUGACAUCUACUUUUCAUAAGACCAUGUUGAUUACAAUAAUGACAGACAACUUUAUUGUUAAUAGAUGUACUCUUUACAAAAGUAGUGUUUAUAAUGCUUUUGUUUCAAAUUUGGCUUAUAACCUAGUCCUCCUUUAUCAAACACAUUUUUUUUUAGUUAAGCAUGUUAUCCAACAUCUUUUGCCCAUUUGUAAAUUUUCAAACAAUCUCAUUUAACUCUUUGUUCUUCUUCUUAAGUAUUUCAUUUUCAAUUUUCAAGUCAUCUAUAUGUGAUUCUAAAUGCUCAUGUGAAGUGAUAGGUUUCUCAUUUGAUAAUACAACUCUAUCAUGCAAUGUUUUAUUCUCUAAUUUUAGGCAUGUAACUUUUGCACUUAGAAAUUCAUUUUCAUUUUUGAACUUUACCAUUUUCUUUUUAAGACAUACAUUUGUUUUUGCCAAUUUUCAUCCACUCAUCAUGCAACUCUUUAAAAGCAUCAUAUAAUUCAUCAUAAGUAGAAUCAUUUACCUAAUUGAGAUCAUCAUUAUCUCUCAUUGCCAUGAGUGCAAGGUUUGACACUUCUUACGAAUCUUCUUCAUCACUUGAUUCUUCAUCGCUAUCAUUCCAAGUAGCAACUAUGGCUUUCUUCUUGAGUUUAUUGAGAAGUGGACAUUUUGAUCUUAUAUGACCAGACAUUUUGCAUUCAUAGUGUUGUGCAAAUUUUAAUGUGCUCGCAAGCGCACGAAUCAAUUGUAGUAUAGAUCAAUGGUGACGAGUGUCGAUCCCACGAGGAGGUGGAUUUUAAUUAUAUGUAGAAUUAAUUUUGUAAAUGGGUGGUUGAAAUUGUAGUGGAAGUGAUUUAAAUUAUCCUCAAAUUGGAAUUGAGAUGGCGAUAAUAAAUUCUAAAAUUGGAAUUGAAAUGGCGAGAAUAAAUUGAAGUGAAAUCUAUUGAAAUGACGUACUUGGGUAUCUGGAUCCGUAUCAACAUGCAUCAUGGGCUAAAUAAUCCUUAUUAAUGCCAAUUAAAUCAUGAGGGGGUAAUCCACACCUCAUUAGCCACGCUCUAAUCAAUAUGGUGCUAAAGGCUUAUCGUGCCAAAUAAUAAUAACCUUGUACUAGAGGGCUGGUGAAACCAAGGCGAUACUAGACAAGAUUAGUAUUAUUUGUCGACGAGAAGUCAAAACAUCCACAAAAACUAGAGGGGAAGAGAAAAUAAAUUUACCAAAUAAAGCCUAUGACACAUGUUGAGACUUCACCUUCAACCCAAGUUUGAAAGAAAAUUAGCUACUCAUAAUUGAACUAGGGGCAAAAUGGGAAUUUAUUAAAAUACUUAGAAAAUACAAGAUGGAGAAGGAAUUACAUAAAAUAGAUCCCAAAAAUGGAUUCAGAGCUAUCAAAUUAGCGGGGAGAGGCCCCCUUUUUAUAGAUACAUGGAGUAGAUCAUGGCCAUCGAAUUAAAAACAGUUUUGACGCUUAGGAUUGCGCCACGUCAUCAGUCAACAGUACGCGGUUUGACCACGCGGAUGAAUAGUAACACGGUUUGACCUGGAUGAACAGUAACGCGGUUUGGUUGAAAAUAAUCCUGUGUGAUGCAUGUACCGUACGCGAGAUUUUUCGUCGACUGAUAUGCUGCCACGGCACCAUAAACAGUACAUAAGAAUUUUAGCCCAACAAGAUCGUGACACCUCAUCAGUCAAUGCCACAUCAUCGGUCAAUGCCACAUCAUCGAUCCGUCUAUGUGAACAGUGUCGUGAACAGUAACGUAGACAGUACCGUACACGUGAAUAGUACCGUACAUGUGAAUAGUGCCAUUUUUCCUUUUAUGCUCCUCCUAAGGUUUUCGACCGUCCUGAGUUUAAAAGUGAUGUCCGUUUUGCCGUCUGAUCUUUCCUUUAUUGUGAAAUGACUAUAAUGCCCCUAAAAUACAUAAAAUACUUAAUUAAAAUAAAACACAUGUAAUUAAAUCACAAGAAGGUUAAAUACAUAAAAGUAAAGGUUUUUAGUAAGACUUGAAAUGUAAAAUGACGGUUUUCUCCUUUAUAAAUAUGCAUUUUCUAACACUCAACACAUAGCAUAUGAUUACCUCUUUCUUCUCCUUUUGAUUCUUGAAGUUUCUAAAUUUUCUUCGCUCACCAAUUUCUUGAAAAAGUUUCUGAACCUCUUUGCUAGUAUGGCCAACUCCUCAUCAUCUAGUUCACUCUCCCCAUCACUCUCAUAUUUUGAAGCUUUGAGAGCAAUGCAUUUCUUCUUCUCCUCAUGCCCUUUCUCUGCUGCUAAGUCUUCUUCAUAUGAAAUAAGAGAGCCAAUUAAAUCAUUAAGGGGUAAAGUAUUUAAAUUUUUGGUCUCUUCAAUAGCAAUUCUCUUAGGUUACGUUUGACACCCUGGAUUGGAUUGGACUAAUUAUUAGGAUUGGAUUAAAUUAAGUUGGAUUGGAUUAAGCUGGAUUAUAUUAUGUGUUGUAUUAUGUUUGGUACAAUAUCAGAUUGGACAAUGUUAAAUCAUAUUUAAAUACAAAAAAUAUUUAUGAAUAUUUAAGAGUAAUAAUUAAAAUUAAUUUAAAAGUAAUUAACAAGAGCAUUAAAUAUGUAGUAAAUUAGUUAUUGGGUAGUCAUAAUUAUAAUAAACAAAUAUAAAUUAAUAAAACUAUUUAAUUAUUUAAUUAAUUUUUAUUAGAUAUUUUAGAUAUAUUUUAUUUUAUCAAAAAGUUAGCAAAUAAUGUAUAUAUAAAAUCAAUUAUUUACUUGUAUUAUUAAUUUUCAUGAUUAUUUUUAAUAUUACAUUGGUGAUUAUUAAAUUUAAUACAAUCAAUUAUUAUAACGAAUUAUUAAAUAGUUAAUUUUAUUGGAGUAAAAGUACCAAUUUAAUUAGACUAUAAAACAAAAUAAAAAAUAAAUUCAAGUAAAUCAUGAAUAAAAUAAAUAAAUAAAUAAAUAAAUUUUAGGUUUAAUUAAUUAAAUUUUAGGUUCCAAGUAAAAAAUAGUGCUAUUUAUGAAAGAAAUAUGAAUAAAUCUUUUUCUCUUAUCCUAAUCCCAUCUAAACCCACUUAUAAAUUGGGAUUGUUAAUCCCAUGAUUUAAGGACUAAAUUUAAAUUUAGUCCUUCCUAAUCCAAUCCAAGCAAAUAGCCAAAUAUGGGAUAAAAUAUUUAAUCCCAAAAUUAAUCCAAUCCCAUGCUUAAUCCUAACUCCCAAACAUGACCUUAGGUCUCAAUUCCUUUGGAAGUGACCUAAUGAUUUUUUUUUUACUUUCUCACUAGUUGAGAAAGUUUUUCCUAGAGCUCCUAAGGUGUUCACUAUGUCCGUAAAUCCAGUAUACNNNNNNNNNNNNNNNNNNNNNNNNNNNNNNNNNNNNNNNNNNNNNNNNNNNNNNNNNNNNNNNNNNNNNNNNNNNNNNNNNNNNNNNNNNNNNNNNNNNNACGGUUAAAUCCUAACAAGAGAACCAAGCUCUGAUACCAAAUGAAAUUCUAGUUAUGCAACUCAAGAGGGGUGGUGAAUUGGGAUUCUAAAAAUUAUUCAAUUCUAGAACAAAACUCAAUUCAAAUCUAAAACUAAUUUAAAGAAAUAACAAAUAAAUCAAUCACAAUAUAAAAAGAUAAGGGAAGAGAGAUUCAAACACGAAAAUUUUUACGUGGUUUGGCUAACCUCGCCUACGUCCACGCCUCCAAGCUUUCCGGGCUUGAGAAUUUCACUAAGCAAGCCACCAAGGCUUCAAAUGCUUACACUUGACUUCAAAUGUGUCAAUAAACCUUUACAACAAGAGAUUAUCCUCAAUCUCUUAACCCAAGUAUAUCCCAACACUUACAAUAACUCAAAAAAAAUUAUAAAUAUUGUUCUUCACUCACACAAUACUUAAGAUGGUUUGUUGUUUCAAAUAAAAUGGUUCACCGUUUAUUUCCAGAUUCAUAGUUUUACCUAAAACAUUGCAGGGAAUCAUUUUUCAAUUGAAAUUUGACAAUUAUUCAUCUUUUAUGAAUAUAAUUGGAAUGAUUAUAUAGCUUUUGUUUAUUAAUGAAUGGCUCCAACAUUUUAAUCAAAGUCAUUUAAAGUUUGUUAUUAUCAAAGUCAAUAUUAUGAACAUAUACAUGUUAACAGUUGUCACUUUCUCCCAUAUAAUCGUUAUCCUUCCCAUCAUCAUCCAUUUCGCUAGUGAUAGUUAAAGUACCAGUAUCAGAGGGAUCACCAGCUAGUUUAGAUGACUUAUCAUGCCGCACACUAGUUAAAUUGUCCUUAGCUUGGCCACUGGAGGAGGAAGUAGCGGAAUUGUUAUUGGUAGAGGCAACAAUGGUGAAAAGAGAUAGUAGAGUGGUAUAAAGGAUUGAGACUGUUUGGGACGACAGUGGGUACAUGGUGGCUAGUCUGGUUUACAUAGAUGUUUGUUUUGCAAUGUAAGUUGUAUGGGAGUUAUACGAGAGUAGCGUCAAUAGCAUCCGGUUGGUUGGCAAUGUUAGGGCCAUGAAUAAAAAAAUCCGCACAUAUGACAAUGCUUAGGUUGGAGGUGGAAUUUUGAUUUUUCUUUUUAAUAUGUUGAUUUCUAAGGAAGAGUAGAAUAGUGGUACUGUUAGAGGUUGGCACAUUACAAUUCAUGGUAAUUGGAUACGACUUAUUAAUACCAUGAUUUGGGUCUUCUUAAUUGAUGCUGGCAAGAAUACCAAAUCGCGAUUCCUUGCCAAAAGAUCCCCAGUGACCACACUCAGAAUCACGACCAAGUUCUCUUGCCUUAUCAAUAUGGGGUUUCCCUUUCUUGGAAACCACCAUCCAUGGCCUAAGUUUAGGGAUACUCUGGUUAUCAUCACUGGUUUUAUUAACCAUCUGCUUGCCGGAGAUGUUCACAUGUUGAUUUAGCUCCCCUGGGUUACCAUUUUCCUCUAUGUGAUUAGGGCAAGACUCUUUAUUAUGGUAAUAUUUUUCACACCGGAAACAAAUAUUAAGAAGACUUUCAUACUCCACCUUCUGAGUUUUUCCAUCCAACAAAAACUAUGAAACAAGAGGUUUUUUAAGAUCAAUUUCAACCACAAAUACGAGCAAAAUUUCCUCUUAUUGCUGACUUGAUAUUAUAAUCAAUUCUGAUAACUGAUCCAAUUAUCUAGUUGAGUAUAUGAUGAAUUUUUUAUGAUAAUAAUGUAGAGCCAUGCCCAACAGGCAGAUCCAAGCUAUAAUCGAAUCAGUUUCCUCCUUAGAACUAUCAAAGUGAGGGGUUCAUAGUUGCACCGUUAAAUAGUGGCCUAAAAUUGUCCAAGGACCAAGAGUCAAAGCAAACUCGGCAUCACCGUUUGAUUUAAAGCGGACAACAUAAAAAUUAUUCUCAAGGUCAAUGAUAGAGAAACCAAGGGUCGAACUCCAAGUUGCUUCCAGGCGAUUGCAGAGAGCUCAAUACCCUAUGUGACGUCACAAUAGCUUGACAACAACCGUAUGAUGCGAAGGCUUGAUAAGUUGGUCGUGAAGCUUUUGGGAGAAAGAGAUGAAGUGUAAAUUAUCAGCACAUUAAAUUACCACAUUGUGUUAAUAAAAAAUCAAGUCAUCAUCAUGGCCAAUUAGAUCUGCUUCAACUUCCCUUGUGAUUCCAUGAGUAUAUCCUUAAAGGAGAUAUGCUCAGGGUUGUCUCUAUCCUCACGUUGAGGCCUAAAUUUUGCUUUUUUGGUAGAUCGAUCAUCAUUCAUUGGGUGAACUAAAGAUUUUUACUGCUUGUAUCAUAGUUUUUCAAAAUAAAUGUACACAUAUUAUAGCAUCAUUUUCUUAUUAUAUAUUGAAAAGUAGAAUUCAUUUAUUCAUUAUAUUAAGCUGUAAAUAUAUCUUUCUAUAUGUAUUCCUAAAUUACAGUAUACUUUGAUUGCAUAGCUUAAUUAUAGGGAUCCUAGCUUAACUAUAGGAACUAAUGGUUAUGUAUAACAAGUCAGUCGUAUGUGUAUAUAUACUCAAUUAAAUGUCAAUAAAAUUAAUUCUGCCCAUUCUACUUUUCGCUCAUAUUUACAUUCUAUCAGAGCAAGGACUCGCUACACUUUAAUCUCUCGGGUAGCAUAUCUCUUUCAGCCAUCAUGGCCCUUGAGGAUACUCCUAAAACUAACAGUUCUUAUCUACAAAAAUCAGAGAUUUCUGCAGAUUCCUACAAGGCAGAUCUCUCCAAUCCUUUCUUUACUCACCAUUCGCCAAGCCUACUCUUCAAUCUCCCAAAAAGAGAAACUGCGCCUCCUCAGUUCAGCGCAUACAAGCAUCGAUUCAAGCAGCAGCGCUGCCGCCAUGACUGUACGCAGCAAGUUGAUUCCUUCGGCAAUAGGAAGAACCGAACAAACUUGCUCUCAUGGGUUCCCAGAUUCUCACGAUUGAACAUACUCUUAGGCGUAAUAAUUUGCAGGACCUCAAGAUGGAGAUCAGCGUCGAUCUAGCUCUGGGAGAGGUAGGCCUUUGUGUGACCACUGUGGAAAUUUCAGCCACUGGAUCCAGAAAAGCUAUAAGCUGCAUGGAUACCCACCAGGCCAUCUUAAAGCUAAAAUUAACUCAGGCCGAAAUUCAAAUCGGCAUAAAGGCAUUUAUGUGGCUAAUCAAUUUGGAGAGGUGUCAAACACAAAUGAAGGCUCACUUACAAUAUCCGAUGUUCAACUCAAGCAACUUUUGUCACUCUUGAAUAAUCAAAAUGAAGGUUCUCACUUCAAAGAAAAUGGGGUAACAAACCCAGGUUUGUUUAAGAUUGCUUCCCUAAAUUGGAUUAUUGAUAGCGGGGCGACAUAUCAUAUUACUUCAUCAUCUAAUUUAUUGCAUAAAGAUAACAACUGCUCGUUACCGUCCACGUUGUUGCCUAGUGGAGAAUGAGCAAAUAUUGUUGCAAAAGGGUCUUUACCUCUCAAUUACGUCUAUUAUCUGCAUGAUGUGUUAUCUGUGCGUACAUUUAAUGUUGAUUUGAUGUUAGUUAGUCAUUUGACAAGAGGUUUGAGUUGUUCAGUGACGUUUUUCCCUUCUUGGUAUAUUUUGCAGGAUCUGAUUAUGAAGAGUACAAUUGGUUUAGGUAAAUAAUGAGAUGGGCUAUAUUUUUUUGUGGCAUUAGCGACAAAGCAAUCUGUGACAAAACCUUCCUCACCAAACAACCGACCAACCUGCAACCUCACUAUCUCAUCCACCGACCUCUCGCAUAAUCGCUUAGGCCAUGUAUCAUAUUCUCGUUUAAGUUUUAUUGCCGCCAAGAACUUUUUGAAUUUUUUUGUUAAGUCUAAUAAUCCAUGCCCCAUAUGUCCGUUGGCUAAGCAAAGUCGUUUUCCUUUCAAUAACAAUGUUAUUUCUUCUACAAAACCUUAUCGACACCCUUCCCUUACCGAAGCUUGUUAUUUCCUCACUAUUGUUGAUGAUUAUACUCGUUCUACAAGGAUUUUUUUUAUGCGACACAAAAAUGAAGCACAAUCUCUUUUAAAAAGCUUCUUUAGCUAUGUUUCCACUCAAUUUAACCGUCACAUUAAAACAUUUCGAAGUGACAAUGAUGGAGAAUUUAUCUCACUUCGAUCUUUCUUUCAAGAUCAUGGUGUUGUUUUCCAAACUUCAUGCAUUUACACGCCUCAACAAAACGAGGUUGUGGAACGCAAACAUCAUCAUAUCUUACAAGUAGCCCGAGCAUUAAAGUUCCAAGCACAACUACUAACCCAAUUUUGAGCUGAAUGUGCACUCACUUCUGUACACAUCAUCAAUAGGUUACCUUUACCUGUUAUUUCUUUCAAAAUUCCUUGGGAACGUCUCUAUUCAAAACCGUCUUCCUUUCCCAUCUCCGUGUUUUUGAGUCUUUGGCCUAUGCCACUAAUGUUCACACUUCUCACAAAUUCGACUCUCGUGCUCAUAUUUGCAUACGAAAUUAAUUCUGCCCAUUCUACUUUUCUCUCAUAUUUGCAUAAUAUAGUUGAUAUAAUACCUUUGAUAUAUUUUAAAAUUUCUCGAGCCUAGCUUUUGGCAUAACUUCAAGGAUAGAUUUGUGAAUUUAGAAAGAGAAUUAGAAAGGGGUUUCUUCUUGUAAAUUAUUCUUUCCAAAGUUUUUAACAAUAAAGAAAUCAAUGUAUUUUUAGUUGGAAUUAAGCAAUUAGGAGGUUGAACGAUCAAAACCUGUGUGUACUCAUCUUUAUAUUUUGAUCUGUUUCUUUUAUUAUUCUUGCUUCGAUUCUUGUGAGCGUCAUCUUGAUCUUGGGGUGUUUAAUUUGUAUUGUAAAAAUAUAUUCAAACCCAACAUAAAAGAGAAAGGCCUUUUUUUUUUUGGGUUGUUAUUCCCAACUUUGUUUAUAAUCAAAAUAAAAAGUCCUUUUGAUGCUUCAAACGCUAGGCCAAGUUCUAUUAAUUGUAGCGUUGUUGGGUGACCGAGGCUUCUUAGACAAACAUAAACUAGAGAACCGACGUCUUGUAAAUCAUGCCACUAUAAACAUUUGGUCUUGUGCACCAAAUUUUAUCCCCUCAUACGUUUCGAAAUUCUUUGCAUAGGCUUUUCCAAUUCCUCAAAUGUUUUCACCUAACCCUAAUGUCUUUGUGAAAUUAUUUCGUAUCUCUAAUGAUCCCACAUUGACAGCACUAGGUAGCUGAGCUAGAUGUGGGAAUUAACAUAAAGUGGCCUUGUAUCAGAUGGCUUCCCCCCCUUAAUAAUCCCCCCGGAUGGACAUUAGUCUUGACUUUUUGAAAGGAACCCAUCAAUUGAACUUAAUUGGAGUCUUUGGACUGACCAGAUUCUGGUCUCCUCAAACUUAUCUGCUUGAGGUUAUUAGGUUACCUCUUGGUGGAGAAGGCCUGCUCAAGGUCACCAAAAUCACCUCUUGGUCGAGGUGGUCUACUCAUGGUAUUAAGAAUUACCUCCUGGUCAAGGUGGUUUGUUCGAGGCCAUCAAGGUUACCAUCUGGUCAAUGUAAUCUACUCAAUGUCACUAAAUAAUAUCUUAGUUGAGAUCAUCAAAAUUACCACCUGAUUGAGGUCAUCUGCUCGAAGUCACUAGAAUUUUCUCUUAGUAGCCUAUCAACUAUUUGCUCACUCUUUACCUCGAUGAGAUCAUGAUCAUCCUAUUUUAUUCCCCAAACAAUUGUUGUUGUAAUUAAAUUACUAUUUGCUACAAAAUGACUAUUAGCAAGUGAUGUAAGGUAGCUCACAUUGUAAGAAAAAAUAAACCAGUUAGAUUCUCGAGAAAUAUUAGAGGGUUACAAGUGGUCUUACUUAAAAUUUAGAUUCUUUAAAUAAUGUAUGAUGAAGUAUUGUGAAAGCUGCUUAACCAAAGCUUUUAACCAACACUCUCCGAGAUCCUCGAUUAGAAUCAACAAGAUGCUUAAGAGAUUAUAUGAAUUGCUAAUAAAGAAUCUAUGUAUGAACAAGAUGAUGACUAAUUCAAAAAAGAUCAAAGAAUUAGCCAACAAAUCAAAGAAUCAUAAAACAAAGCUAUUAACGUGGUUCAUGCAAUUUGCAUUGACCUACAUUCAUGAGGGACCAAGAACACCUCUCUCAAACAAGCUAUCUCUCACACUGGAAUUAGCCGUAUAAAUAGUUUUAAUGAACCCAGAAACUUUUCCAGAAACGCACGUGUUUACCAUGUGAAUUAACGGCCUCAUAACAACUUUUACAAGUCACGUGCGCUGCACAUGCUUUAUAAAACUAAAAAUGGCAAAGCUUUUGGUCGUUUAAGCUAGCAAACUUAAUACACAUCAAAACAUAGAUCUUGCAUGUCGUUUUGCCUUCGUCAUGGACAUACCAAAAACACAAAUCACCUCUGUCGUUUUGAUCUCUUUAAUUUGCUUCAUGAACAUAUGACCUUUAUGAUAAAACCUUUCUAAGCUAUUUGAGCUUACUAAUAAACAACUUAUAUGUCAUAUGUUUAUAAUAACAAAUUGAUAUAGCAUAUAUUAUUAAUUAUAAAUUACAAUAAUAUGUGAUAAUAAAUAUAAAAAUAUAACUAUGACGUUUGGAAAGGUACAAUGUUUUUAAAAAAGAUUCGCCACCUUUUCAGCGGUGCUUAGAUUUUAUUAGUACCUAUCUUCUAGGAUUAUUGAAUUUAGAUAAUCUCAAUAGCACAAUCUUACAAUUUUAGUGAACUUCAAAUAAGUAUUCAAUUAAGUGUUUGAAUUUUAUCACAAGUGCUACAGAGAAUUUGUUUUAGAGGGAGGAGGAAAAAUCACUUUGACUAAAGCAUUACCGAAACAAGGUCUCUCCAGAGAUUUAUAAGAGAUGUGGUUUCCUUCAGAGCCCGCAAUAAGCACCUAUGACACUUCCCGUUCCAGCAGAAACUCUUCUGAGCUCGCAAUUAUGAUGUUCAUCAUGUCGAUGUUGUCUUUCAAAGACAGAGAGGCUGCUGUUGCCGACGUACUAUAAAUUAUUUUUAUGCUGCUGAAUAAGAAAAUUACUACUAGUACUGAAGAGAAACCGACGAAGACAAAAUUGUUGGCUCGUGGUCAUGAUCAAUGGAUUAAAUGAUUUCUUUCUUAAUCCUAUAUUCCCAUGUAUGUAGGGAUGGCAAUUGUACCCGCAAACCCGCCCAAACCCACCCGCCAAAACCCGUCCGUUGUGGGUAAUUUUACCUGUUGCGGGCGGGUUUAGUAUUAUAAAUUAAAACCCGCACAUGGAUGCGGGUGGGUUUGGUAUUAACCUUAUAUCCGGUGGAUACCCGCAUGGAUAUCCACCAAACCCGCAAUAUUUUUUUCAAAUAUUUUUAAUUUAAUUUUAAUCUAAAAAUGCAUAAAGAAAAUAAUGUAUUUAAUCAAAUUACCAAAUAGCCAAAUGCUCAAAGUUGUGUAUGUGUGUAUGUGGUCCAUCUCUUAUUCUAAAGUCAUAACCUAAAGAAAACUAAAGGCAUUUUCCUUCGAAUUAGUAUUUGAAAAUAUUAAUCUUAAUUAUUAUUAUAGGCAUUGUGUUGGAUGGGUGCUUAUGGUGGUGAAUGAAAUGAAUAUCUUCUCUUGGAGCUUGUUUUAAAUGAUAAUAUGAAAUGUAAUUAUUAUUUUUAGAUACUAGUUUGUGUUUUUUAAAUGGAUUUGUGUAAUUUAUACUUAAAUUUGAGAAUUUGUGUUGAAUUGAUGUGGAAAUUUUAAUUUUUCAUUUACAUAGUUUAAAUAUAAUAUUGAAUAUGUUAUAUGGAAUUUGAGGUUAUUAUUAUAAAUUUAUAUAUUAAACAUAUGUGAUUUUAAAUACAGAAACCCGCAAAAAAUCCGCCGGAUACCAUUGCGGGUUUGGUAAUUGUUAAAACCUGCUGCGGGUGGGUUUUUUUAAAAAAAUUAAAACCCGCUGCAGGUUGCGGGUGCAUUUGAUAAUUUAAAUUUUAUGCGGGUUUGGGUUUGGUAAUGGCAAACCCGCUGCGGGUAGUGCCCAUUGCCAUCCCUACAUGUAUGUAUGAGUCGUCAGUUUCUGUAGAAGUACUAAAAAAAUAACUUGCGUUAGAAAAAAUAAUAAAUAAAGAGAUAAUUAAUGGAUAAUAAAUGAAUGGCUUAAAAUUGUUUUUGUCCUUCAAUUGACUAGCAUCAUAGCCUUCAUUUUCGGUCAAUAACCUUUAUCAAUAGUCUAGAGAGAAAUUUUAAAAUAUCUUUGAAGUAUCAUGUCAUAUAUAUAUAUAUAUAUAUAUAUAUAUAAAAGUAGAUAAUAUUAUAAUACGUGCGUAUUUAUUUUUAAAGAAUUAAUAUAUAAUGAUUAAUUAUAUAAAAUUUAAUAUAUAUAUAUAUAUAUUCUAAAAAAUGCAAAUUAACUGCCGACCCAUUCGAUCAAUCAAGUUGUAACUAGUUAGCUACAUAGCCAGUGACAUAUGGUGGACCUCUCGAUUGUCGCUGUGAUGGCCAUGAUCAGCACAAUUCACGCAUAAUGAUAAUGUUGUGGUGGGAAAUAAUAACUGACUUGCUCAAGUCGUCGCGGGUGGCGGCGUUCAACUUUUCAAAGUCUCGUGCAGAAAACAUACGAAAGCAUUUGUUUUCAACAGUAGACUUUUUUUUUGUUCUUUAUAGAGCUAAUUAUACCAUAAGCUUUCCAAUUGGACUAGAAUUGCUUAGCAAGCCUGUUUUAAAAAGUUCAAUUUUAAGAUUCACCGGAAAAAUAAUUUUGUAACGAUUUCCAAUUUUGUUCUUAUCUUCAUUGAUUGUACUUUGAAUGGAAAUUCUUUCACACGUUCUCGCCUUUAUUGUUUGUUUUGUCUCCAUCCAUGGAAUUUCCUCCAUGGAAAUGAAUGAUAACCAAUAUCCGGUGGCCCUUCAGAUUUACAAAGACUUGCAUAUGCAAUUGCUACGAAUUAAUUAAUGGUUAUAUCUUUUUUUUUUAAUUUUAAUUCAAUGGUUUCAUCACACAGCAUUUAACUGAAUUGAAGAUUCUUCAAUGGCCUAAAAUAAUUACAUUUGUUUUUAAAACGAUAAUUCGAGUUGUACCCAAUUAUGAUCUAGAUGAUUGUUGUAGAAUCAGACAGAAAAGCUCUCAUCAUGAUUAAUUCUCUCCAAGGAAAAAAAUUUAAAGAAUAUAUAAUUUAAAGUAAAACCCAACUAGAUAUCGAGAGACAAAUUAAUCUAAACAAUAUAUGUAUUCAGCUUGUCACAAAACUAAUUAAUUAAAACUAUCCUGUAAUGUAUGGCAUAUGGUCACCUUUGGUAUGCAACUCCCUCAGUAGGACGCAUAGCUAUCUAAAAAGGUUAUUUUGUUAAUGGAUGAUAAGGUCUGUACCAUAACAGAGCUAUCUGUUAUAUAUAUAUUAUUACUUUAUUAGUGCCUUUUCAUUGAUAAAAAGGGUAAGAAUAGUAUAACAAAGGAUUAAACUCAGACACAUUCUGAAGUCAACUCAAUUACAAACAAGAUGCAAAAAAAGAAAAAUCUAAGCUAGCACUUAAGGAGGCUAAUAUGAUUUAGCAAUAUCUGAUCAUCAUGUAUCAUCUCCCUUUUGGAUUCAGGAUCUCGGAGAACACAGCUCCAGUAUACUUAUUAGAACUUCCAGUAGAAAGACUUUGAUCAUCAGUAGCAGUAGUAGUUGAUAUGGUAACCGUACUAAUGGUUUUUGAAUCUGAAAGUACAUGUUCACCAACACCAGAGAACAUGGAACAACUACCAUCGGUUUCGUAGUUGUCCAAAAUUUUUUCUUCCUCCUGAUUCUCAUCAAUCUCCUUUGCAAUUGCAAUACUAUUUUCCUGCAGCUGCAAUGCGAACUCAAGUCCCCAAACCACAUCGCUCAUCGAGGGCCGUCUGAUUCCUUCAUCAAUCAAGCAGCUCAUCGCUACCUCAGCAAAUUUGUUCAAACACUCUGGCUUUAUCUUACCCUUCAAGAAUGGAUCAACAAUCUGGUCAAUUGUUCCAUUUUGAUAACAUUGUUGCGCCCAAACGGCUAAACUCACUUGUUUCUUAUCUGCUGUCCGAAGAAUAGGUGGCCGAGCACACAAUACUUCGAACAACACAACACCGAAUGAGUAGACAUCAGAUUUUUCAGUAAGCUGCUGAAGUCGGUAGUACUCAGGAUCUAAGUAUCCGACACUGCCCUUAACAACCGUACUCACAUGAGUUUUGGACACCGAAGUUGGUCCAAAUUUGGAGAGUCCGAAAUCAGAAACCUUGGCCACCCAUUUCUCGUCUAACAAGAUGUUGGUUGUCUUCACAUCACGAUGAAUGAUAACAGCAUGGUUUGCCCCAGUAUGCAAAUAGUGAAGCCCACGAGCUGCACCAAUGCAGAUUUCAAGCCUUUGAUUCCAUGGAAGAGAGGGAUUGUCGCUAUGGUAGAGAUGAUCACGUAGAGUCCCACGAGCCAUGAAAUCGUAUACAAGGAUCAUCUCCCUGCCAUCGUUGCAAUAGCCGAUGAGAGAGACUAAGUGAAGAUGCCGGAGCUGCGAGAGCAUUCCUAUCUCAGUUUGGAAUUCCAGGGCGCCCUGUUGCGACUCUGGUUCCAGUCGUUUGAUGGCAACAGGGGUAGUGCUGCCAUUGAUGAAGCCUUUGUAGACAUUACCAAAUCCUCCAACUCCAAUUACGAGAUCAUUGUCGAAGUUGUUUGUAGCCGCUUGGAUUUCAGAUAGAGAAAAUUGGGUGCAAAGAUCGGAAGGAAGGAAUGAGCCGCGUGAUGACUUGGUUGCCUUGACAGUCUUAGAAGAAAAAAAAGUCCCCAAAAGUGAAGUACCUGUACCGGAACCCGAGUCCUUGACUUUUCUUCCUCUCCAGAAAAUUAACAACAAUAGUAGAGAUAGCACACCAAAGCCUGAUAUAACACCAGCAACGAUCCCGAUUACAUUACUCUUCUUAUUCGAUUUUGUUGUUGGAGACACAUCUAAAUUAGGUGGGAUCGUCCGACGUUCAGGAUUAGGUCCGGCUAGAUUCCCAUUGUUGUCCACUUUAAAGAUUUCAAGGCCGUUCAAGAUAGCAUCAGAGUAUUUGGUCCUCCAUCUGGGGGCAGGGUGCAGUUGAAUAGAAAGAUUCUGCUUCAUAUUUUCUUCAUUUGGUUUUGAUCCUAUCAUCACAGCAUAAUCUCUAUAUAUGGGAACACCAUUCGCACCACUCCAAGCUAUCACAUCUGCUUGAACUUCAGCAGUUAAAUUAGCAAUGAAGAUCUGGAACAUCCUAUCGCCCUCUUGAGUUACCUCUAUUUGAAACUCACAAAAAUGAAGCCUCAGAAAAUAUGUAAAGCCGGAAUCCACUUCGAACUCCCAAGUGAGAUUAUACUUCUCGUUGAUUUCCCUGUGCUGCCCCAUCGUCCUGGCGGUGGUGUAGACCACAUCUGGAGCAGAGUGAGUACUUUUCCAAGUGAGAUGAAUACUCUGGUUAACGGGAAGAGCACUUGGUCUGGCAUCUGUCAAGUAGGGGUCGUCCAUAUACCAAGUUCGGUACAUGCCGCCGGUGUCGUAUGACGGUGAGAUUUGUUGCCCGCCGACGUUUAUCCGGUAUAAAUUCGCCAGAGCAUUUCUGUUUAAGAUACUGUAUGUGAUGUCCUGGCCAACAAACUUGAACCCCCGGCUGGGAUCAUCGGCCGCGGUGUAAUAGAAAUUGAGGGGCAUGGAUACAAUCUCAAUUCCAUUGAUAAAAGCAUAUGAAUCAUUGUAAUCCGGACUUGGAGUGAAGGUUAUGUUCAAUAGCCUCUGAUCGUCUUCGAUGUUAAUGCAGAAUUCUUUGAAAAAGGGAUGGCCGUUGCCAUCUGCUGUAAGUGAAGCGCUAAAGUUUCUUAACAGAGUGAAAGAAGCUGCUUUAACAGAGAAGAAAGCUGCAGAGGGGUUGAACCCUGGUUUUGAAAUUGGAUUGAAAUGCAGGCGGAUGAACUUUUGACCGGCGGUGACGUUGAAUAUGUAGGUGAAUUGCGAAUGAGAAACGCGUGAUUUUGAAUAUGGGACUUGCUUAUUUUCAGUGACGGUUGUUGAUUUGGGAGCGGAUGCGUCUUCAUGUGGGGAGUAUUGAGAGUUAACAUCUCCAACCCAAGUCUGGCCGGGA